UUCAACCAUGCUUUGGGUAUAAAGACAAAAAAAAAAAAAUGUUAGUAAUGCAUUUCUCAUAUUUCUUCUAAACAUAGCCAAACAGUAACGAUGUAUUUUCCAGUUUGCAUCUAAAUACUACCCAAACAGCGACAAUCCAUUUGUAGUGACAAUAUAUUUCCAGGUAUCCAAAUGGCCCCUAAGUGUGUCAUAUUUUGGUCACUAUAUGGGAAUAGUCUCUUCCUGUAGGGCCUCCCUAGCAUGAGAGGCAAGGCCUCCUCUUAGAGAGAAGAUAACUUAUUAUAUUGAGAACGUUGCGAUGGUGCUUCAUGUAGAUUGAGAGGUUAGUUUCUUAAGAAACAGUUAUGAAGAAGUAAAUCUCAUAGACCCAUGGAGAUUUUGUGUGGUUUCACAUUUUAAUUAGAGAAAGUCUUUAUUGCUCUAAGGUUCUCUUGUUAAACAUUGGUCUAGCUUAGCUAUGGAAUAGAGAUUAGCUAUGGAAUAGAGAUAAGAGAUCGAUAGUCGUGCAGAUCGGAAAAAGCAAAUCUAAAAAGGUUUCCGCCGAUGGUUUUAUCAAGGGUUAGAGAUAUAAAUUUAUAUCCCAAAAUCUAUCACGUAACUUUACUGGGUUUUGUCGAAAGUUAGAGAUGUAACCCUAUGUCCCAAAAUCUAUGAUAUAACUUUUAUUGGUAAUGUGGAUUUGAAUUGUUGUGUCAAUAGA
RNAcentral lists this long non-coding RNA (700 nucleotides) under Amborella trichopoda. Its description in RNAcentral is "long non-coding RNA (ATRI_LNC005160)". The record is from RNAcentral. Lineage: Eukaryota; Viridiplantae; Streptophyta; Magnoliopsida; Amborellales; Amborellaceae.